Chlorocebus sabaeus (green monkey) is the source of this 3461-nucleotide long non-coding RNA. RefSeq lists it as uncharacterized. NCBI's taxonomy places the organism in Eukaryota, Metazoa, Chordata, Mammalia, Primates, Cercopithecidae. The record is from RefSeq and is a predicted model, not a curated record.
UCCUCCCUCCCCACACGAUCCUGCAGCACCAAGCUUGAUGAAUACUUAGGAAGGCAAACCAUCAUGAUCAGUAAUGGAGCAGUCACUUAGGGUACACCUAUUUCUUUGUGAUUUGAAUAAUCUAUUUCCACCCACCCCAGCCCCACACUGUCAACCACCUUCAACAAUCCGGGGAAUCAAGUUAAUCUUCAAUUAUGUGAAAGAAUUUCAGGAACGAGUGCAGCUCAAGUUACCAAGUAACUUACUGUUGUGAAAAGAUUCAUACCGCAAGCUGCCUAAAUGCAGGGCUUUUAAUGAUGUUCCCCGCCAACAAGGCAUGAAGAUGGGGCUUGCUUCCAUCUGGCCCUCCUGCUACCUUCAGCAACACGCCCCACAUCCAAUCCUGCUUACAGUCGAAGAUGAAUCUGGCAUAAUACAAAGAGCACUGGACCAGAAGCAUGAAGUUUCUCUUAUCUGUGCCUUGGUUUUCUCACGUGGAAAACAGAAAUGUUGACAUAAAUAAUCCCACAGGUCUCUGCUAGUACCAUUUUGUGAUUCUAUAUCAUGCUUACCACACCUAGAAACAGGGGCCAUCAUUCCAGCCAGCUAACAGAGAAAAAUAAGAUAAAUAAUCAGGCUUGGGAAAUACAUUCCGUAGACCAAGUAAACAAAGACAACAAUCUGAUAUAAGUAUUAUAACUGGGGGAUGAGGGGUUGCAAAUGGAGAUCCACCACAGUCAACUCUACUUGAAUUCCCCUGUUCUCGACAGGCAGCAGCAAUCAUAAUGGACUUGGAGCACCAGUCCCACAACAUCACAGGACAUCCAGACAUAAUUGCAUUAAUACUCGCACAACUAUCCGGUUAUUCAGCAUUGCCCAAUAUGUGAAUAAAACUCUUAGGAAAAAUUAAUGCUUGCUUGAUGCUUUGACACAUUUCCCUUUACAAAGCAAAGAUCCCUACUCCUCUCACUUUCUCACAUGUAGCAUUACAACUAGUCAGCAUCCACAUGAGUCCUUAUAAUUAAUCAGAUCUACUGAGAGGUAGGUCCAAGAUGCAGGGUAAGGAGAGAUCAAGCAGAAACAAAAUACACAGCCAUUGCUCUGUAUCUUCAGGAGAUUGGUUCCGGAACCCCCUUCAAUGCCAAAAUCUGCAGAUGCUCAAGUCUCUUAUGUAAGAUGGUAUAGUGUUUGCAUAUAACCUACUAAUAUCCUCCUGUAUACUUUAAAUCAUCUCUAGGUCACUUACAAUACUUAAUACAAUGUGAGUGCUAUGUAAAUGGUUAUCAUACUGUAUUUUUAUUUGUAUUCAUUUUAUUGCUGUAUUAUUACUUCUUUUUUUUUAACAAUUAUUUUUAAUCUGUGGUUACUCGAAGCUGCAGAUGCAGAACCCAGGGAUAUGGAGGCCCAACUGUACUUUUACCUUAUUAUGUAGGCUAUGCUAAUAUUAAUGACUAGAACGUUAUGUUAUUUCUUCUCAGAUUUCAAUAACAGUUGAACCUCAGGGUCAAAGUAUCAGGCACUAAAUUGAAGAGAAUGCUGAUGAUUAGGACAGGAAAGCAACUUAAGCAUCUAUUAGUCCAGCCUACUAUGAAAAGUAGGAAUUCCUUCAACAAAAUUCUCACACAUGCCUAUCCAACUUCCCAAUGAUUAAAGCAAUAACAACAGUAAUGAUAAUAAUAAACACAUAUUUCACACUUACUGUGUGCCAGACACUGUCCUAAGUAUAUUGAGUACUGAUUGUGAAUCAGCACUGUUCCUAAGACUUCAUAGACACUUAACUUAUUGAAUCUUGAAAAUGCCUCUAGGAGGCAGGAUCUAUUAUUGCUCUUAUUUGAUAGAUGAAUCAAUGGAAACAGAAAAGAGUUAACUAACUUGCCAGAGGUCACAAAGUUAGACUGAGAAGAGCUGGACAAUUGCACUAAACAGACUAGCCCUGUAGCCUGUCCUGCUAAUCCUAUGCUACCAAUAGGGGCAAAGGACAGAGACAAAGUAGGGGAUUAGAAUCCAUUUCAACACGACUUUAAUUAAUAGAAAGAUCUUCAGUUUUCUGAGCAAAAGCUGCCUCCUUUAGUCUUCAUAUUACCCACUAGUUCUAAAGAGAAUAAUUAUUCCUUCUUCCAUUUGACAGUGCUUUUUUAUCAAAGAUUGACAAACUAUGGCUUGUAGGCCAAAUCUGGCCCACCAUCUGUUUUUAUAUGGGCCAUGAGCUAAGAACGGAUUUCAAGUUUUCAAAUGGUUGGGAAAAAUAUCAAAAGAAGAAUAAUAUUUUGUGACACAUGAAAAUCACAUGAAAUUUAAAUCUCAGUGUCUAUAAAUGAAGUCUUAUUGGAACACACUCAUACUUCACUUACAUAUUGUCUGUGGCUGCUUUUACUUUACUAUAAGGUCGGAAUUAAGUACUUGAAAAAAGACCACAUGGCCCAGUAAAGCCUAAAAUAUUUACUAUCUGGCCCAUUGCUAGAAUGUGUGCUGAUUCUUGCCUUAAAUAGUAGAAGGUGGUUCUCAUGUCCUUUCCUAAAAUGCUCUUUUUUUAUAGUAAAAUACCUCAGGUCCCCCCAACCACCAUCAUCUCAUUAUCCCGGAAACUCUCCUCUGGCAUUCUUUGGUGCAUAUUCUAUCUCUCUCAAAAUUCUCCUCAGUGGUAUAUGGCUACGAUGGAAUACUACUCAACAAUAAAAAGGAACAAACUACAGUAGAGACACACAACGACAUAAUGAAUCUCCAAACCACUAUUCUCAGUGAAAAAGCCCUGCACGUCUUUUUCUCACUGCAUAAUUGUAUCUACAGGAAAUCCUAAAAUGGGUAAAAUUAAUCUAGGGUGAAAAAUUAUAUAUCAAAAUAAUGGUUGUCUUUGGAAAAAUGGGGCAAGGAUUGGUGGAAUGGGCAUGAGAGAACAAUUUGGGAUGCUGGAAGCAUCCCAGAUCUUGAGAGUUGUUUGGGUUACAUAGUUGUGUAUAUUUGCCAAAAUCCACCAAAAUGUACAUAGUUUGAAUAUUAUACUGUAUCCACCUCAAAAACAAACCUUGUAAGUAAAUAUUGCAUUCUAGUUAAUGAUCUGCAUACUGAAAAGUUUAGUGGUAACGGUAUCAAGGUGUGCAACUCAUUUGAAAUGUGUUGGAAAAUCAAGGUGGUUGGAUGAUUGGGUGGAGGGAAGGACAGAUGGCAAGAGAUGUGAAAAAGCAAGAGAAGUAAAGUGUUCAUUGUCAAAAGUGGGUGACGGAUACCUGGAUGUUCACUAUCUAAUUCUUUCACCUCCUACAUUUAAGUCUUGUCACAACAAAACUUCCUUCUAAAAUAACAUUUUCAAAGUAAAAUUUUUAUGAUAAAUGAGACAGAUAGAUAAAGGUAAUGUCUGGCAUGAAACAAAGUACUCUAAAAGUUGCACAAAGCAACAUCGUUAUUUCCCUUCCUUUGUCCAUUUUUAUGUUAGCAUUUAUUUUCCUUUGAUGUAUCUGAUUGGACCCUGAAAUAUCUACCUUAAA